AGAAGAUCCUAUUCAUUUUUUUCUUAUUUUUUUCUUCUCUUUCUUUUUAAUAAAAUAAGGUCCCUGGGGUGUUAGUAUACAAAGAAGAAAAAAAGAGAAAGAGAAGAAGUAAGAACAAAGAACAAUAAGCAGCAAUAGCAGCGAAGCCUUAAGAAGAGGAAGAAAGAGUAACUUUCUAGAAGAAGCCUCAUAUCUCUCAUUCUCUCUGAUAGAAAGUAAGAGCUAAACUUUGAAUUUAAUAGGUCUUUUUAUCAACAUUUAUACCAGCUGUAUCUCAGUUAUGAAUGGUCCAAGUUUUGUAUUAUAAAUCGUGUCUCCUGUGAAUAGAAAAAUGCCAAGUUGAUGAAUGAGGCAUGUGCAUUGAGUCAUAACAAAUAUAAAUAUGUUGGCUAAAUGAAAUUGAUGGUGUGAUCUCUGCUUGGGAUAGAUUCAAGGUUUACAUAGUUGACUGUUAUUACUGGCCUCAAUGGAUACCACUGCUUGAUGUCUUUUAUCAUGAAACAAAUCAGUCUUGAAAUCGUUUUUUACUCCUAUUAGCUUGGUGUCCUUCAUACCUGGUUUUGCUUUUGUACUAGAAUAUAGGAUUUCCUUGGGGUCAAGUGCUGAUUAAUUGCACCAUUCUGUACUCAAAUCUUGUUUUCUGACUUGGGCUAUACCCUUUUGUUCCAGGUCUAGGUUGGACUUAUCCAUGCGACUUAUGGAGUGUUGGUUGUAUACUUGUAGAGUUAUGCUUGGUUCGUCCUGUAUUUCUGUAUAUUUAUAUGAUCCUGAUUCUAAUUUGGAAUUUCUCAUUAGAGACUAAAGCUUCAGGAAUUUUUGUGUUAGGGUGAAGCACUAUUCCGGACACAUGAGAACUUGGAACAUUUGGCAAUGAUGGAGAGGGUAUUGGGGCCUCUGCCAGAGCACAUGAUUCAAAAGGCUAAGUAAGUUCCUUCUGAAAUUUAAGGGAGAAACUUGGUAUUUGUUCGAUGAUGUUGGCAUGCUUAAAUUGAUUUAUUGUGCAAAGCCUUCAUAAUGUUUGUGUCUUCCCAUUCAUUAUUCUUGCUAGCUGUUAAAAGAUUAGUCAAACUGUUAAUGGAUGAAGAAAUAAAUUUUAUAUAUUUUACUGACUUUUUGCUUUCAUUGGUUACAUGCAGCUGGGGGGCUGAAAAAUAUUUCAAAAGGGGAUCAAGACUGAAUUGGCCUGAAGGAGCAGUUUCUAGGGAGAGCAUCAGGGCUGUGAGGAAGCUUGAUCAUCUCAAGGAUAUGUUAUCUCAACAUGUAGAGAGCUCUAGAUCCUCGCUCAUAGAUCUGUUGCAUGGUUUAUUGGAAUAUGAGCCAUCUGAACGUCUAACAGCUAACCAAGCUCUUAAUCAUCAGUUUUUUAAGAUUCCAACUUAAGGAACCUCACCAUGAGCCAUGAGGACAUCAAUUGUUUACUCUUGCUCAGACCAUGGGUCGUGCAGAUCACUUGUUUUUGUACAAAUAUGAAUUUAAUGUAAGUAUUCCUUUUAUGCGAGAGGAGUUUUUCCUUGGCCAAGUUGAAACAGGUCCAUGACAUUGCUACCUUUGUGCAAUAGUAAUAAAUCUUAUUAUAUUUCAACAGCUAGUUAGGAGUAUAAUGGAAAAACGCUUUUGUUUCUUCAUAAUUGAAUCAUUGUUCAUUUA
RNAcentral lists this unclassified non-coding RNA (1647 nucleotides) under Hevea brasiliensis (rubber tree). Lineage: Eukaryota; Viridiplantae; Streptophyta; Magnoliopsida; Malpighiales; Euphorbiaceae. The record is from RNAcentral.